RNA transcript from Zea mays, 802 nucleotides. It is a transcript of the gene named CNOT1_CAF1 pseudogene, with no coding region annotated. NCBI's taxonomy places the organism in Eukaryota, Viridiplantae, Streptophyta, Magnoliopsida, Poales, Poaceae. The transcript is spliced from 6 exons. The record is from RefSeq and is marked validated.
CCUUGCUAAAAACCUAGGCAGUUGGUUGGGAAAGUUCACCAUUGGUAGGAAUCAGGCACUAAGGGCUAAGGAGAUUGAUCCAAAAUCUCUUAUCGUGGAGGCAUAUGAGAAAGGAUUGAUGAUUGCGGUCAUACCAUUCACUUCAAAGAUCCUUGAACCUUGCCAGUCAAGUAUCGCAUAUCGACCUCCAAAUCCCUGGACCAUGGGAAUUCUAAGUCUACUUGCUGAAAUUUAUAAUCUUCCAAACCUCAAGAUGAAUCUGAAAUUUGAUAUUGAGGUGCUAUUUAAGAACCUUACUGUUGACAUAAAGGAUGUGAAACCAACUUCCCUGCUCAAAGAUCGUCUGCGCGAAGUCGAGGGAAAUCCAGAUUUUUCAAAUAAAGAUGUUACUGCAUCUCAAACCCCUGUGGUUGCAGAAGUCCCUUCAGGGACCAUCCCUUCACUAACUCAUAUGGAACAACAACCUGAGAUCAAUAUCACAUCCCGAGCUAUGAGCCUUCCAAAUAUACUUAAUCAGUAUGCUGCUCCUGUUCGUCUACCUACAAACAGCACGGUAGAAGAUGACAAAGUUGCUCUGAUGAUGCCUGAGCAAGUGCCCUCGUUGACCCAGGUUUCGCCAGCACAAACACAAUCAACAUCACCAUCUCCAUUUUCUGUUAACCAGCUUAUGGCGGCUAUUCCACGUGAAGAGAUACGUUUCAAAAUAAAUCCAAAGCUCGGCUCCCUUGGUCCACAAGUGCAAUAUAGCAAGUAUGCCUCCAAGUUUCUGAAAGGAAUUUGUUAUAUUUCAUUUCGUAUUUAA